AGAACCAACAGAACCGAACUGGAACCGGUAGGUUUGGAUUAGUUCGAUUCUUCAAGUCAUUUUAGUCAAAAUCCGAACCGAACUGGACCGAGUGAACAGUGCCGGUUUGGUUCAAAUUUUAAAUAAAAAUCGGGCUGAACCUAACUGUGCCCACCCUUACUUGGUCUACCUCCCUACGCAGGGCAUCCUCCAAGGCUCCUCCAACUUUCAAGUCUCGAAGUUGGUCAUUCAUAAGCUUCUCGACGUCUUCUACUCGCAAAGUUUGUGAGUCACGUUGGUGUCUCCCAUGAAGCAGGCGUCGCUGAUCGACCUCCUCAUUGACUAUUGGCGGUUGAUCUCCUCGGUUGUCUUGCUUGAGCAGCAUAUUGGUAGAUUGAGCUUGCGAGGGAUUUUCUGUGGCUUGUCUAUGUGAAAUGGCUCUUUCAAAGUAGGCUGGUGAGCAUCUUCAUGUAUCUCAUGAAGAGGAUCGCUAGGCUGAUCUCCUUGGGAGCCUAAUCUAGCAUGAAUUUUUCUCUACAGGCCUGGACGUGCAUGAACAUUUGAUUGCAGGCCUAACCUCUCGUGCACAUUAGUUUUGGGACCUACCCUCGAACAAAGAUUUGAUCUACUUGAGCUUGAGCUUGAGGAUGCUUUGAAAUACUAGAGUGCUAGGCAUCGCGUCCUUGUCAU
Molecule: long non-coding RNA, 669 nt
Filed under: Prunus persica (peach)
Lineage: Eukaryota; Viridiplantae; Streptophyta; Magnoliopsida; Rosales; Rosaceae
Description: long non-coding RNA (PPER_LNC005120)
Source: RNAcentral